GGGGUUGUGGCUCAAUGGUAAGGUGCCUGCCUAGCACACAGAAGGCUUGGGUUAGAUUCCUAGCACCACUA
This 71-nucleotide transfer RNA is filed under the name Cavia porcellus (domestic guinea pig). It matches the Rfam family "tRNA". Rfam says of the family: Transfer RNA (tRNA) molecules are approximately 80 nucleotides in length. Their secondary structure includes four short double-helical elements and three loops (D, anti-codon, and T loops). Further hydrogen bonds mediate the characteristic L-shaped molecular structure. tRNAs have two regions of fundamental functional importance: the anti-codon, which is responsible for specific mRNA codon recognition, and the 3' end, to which the tRNAs corresponding amino acid is attached (by aminoacyl-tRNA synthetases). tRNAs cope with the degeneracy of the genetic code in two manners: having more than one tRNA (with a specific anti-codon) for a particular amino acid; and 'wobble' base-pairing, i.e. permitting non-standard base-pairing at the 3rd anti-codon position. Lineage: Eukaryota; Metazoa; Chordata; Mammalia; Rodentia; Caviidae. The record is from Rfam by way of RNAcentral.